Molecule: long non-coding RNA, 520 nt
Organism: Suricata suricatta (meerkat)
Lineage: Eukaryota; Metazoa; Chordata; Mammalia; Carnivora; Herpestidae
Exons: 2
Source: RefSeq, a predicted model, not a curated record
UGUGCUCCAGGCUCCAUGGGGUCAGGGCUCCGGGCUGCCUGGUGGAGAAGCCCCGAGUCCCUGGGCUGAGAAUCGCUGAUCUGUUUCAGCUCGAGCUCCUUCACGGUGAAAGAUACAAGACCACCGGCUGGAGAACUUACAGGAGGAGAGCAGGGCCGUGCCUGAAAGGCUCGAUUCCCAUUACAGUCCAGCCUGUGACACGGACCAGCCUGAGUCUGAUGCCUGGUUCCUCACACGAGCGGCCUCGCUUUGGAAACACAAAGCGCACCUGCUCACCUCGCCCAGCGGCGCGUGCAGGCCGCUGCGCAGAGAACCGGGGCGCCCCGCUGCUGUCUUUUCGCCGCAGGGCCAGAGCCCAGCUCUGGGCUCCAUGCUGCCCCGACUCACUCGGUGGGAACGUGUGAUGCCUUGCAGAGGGGCUUAAGGAUGUGGCAAAGAAGAAAGAAGCAAAAGUAUUACCCAGAUCAUCCAGGGCUACUGCUCUGCUAAUGAAAAGGGAAGAGAAUAUUCUGGAAAGAAA